UCAUAUGGUACAUUCCCCUA
RNAcentral lists this non-coding RNA (20 nucleotides) under Arabidopsis thaliana (thale cress). Lineage: Eukaryota; Viridiplantae; Streptophyta; Magnoliopsida; Brassicales; Brassicaceae. The record is from RNAcentral.